This 252-nucleotide ribosomal RNA is filed under the name uncultured bacterium. RNAcentral describes it as "partial 16S ribosomal RNA". It matches the Rfam family "Bacterial small subunit ribosomal RNA", at positions 524 to 776 of the family's 1533-position model. The record is from RNAcentral.
UACGUAGGUGGCGAGCGUUAUCCGGAAUGAUUGGGCGUAAAGGGUGCGCAGGCGGCGCAUUAAGUUUGAAGUAAAAGGUAGCGGCUCAACCGCUGCAAGCUUCGAAAACUGGUGUGCUGGAGUGCAGGAGAGGGCAGUGGAAUUCCAUGUGUAGCGGUAAAAUGCGUAGAUAUAUGGAGGAACACCGGUGGCGAAGGCGGCUGCCUGGCCUGUAACUGACGCUGAGGCACGAAAGCGUGGGGAGCAAAUAGG